GGGGCUGUAGCUCAGUGGUAGAACAUCUGCUCUGCGUGCAGAAGGUCCCACUUUCAAUCCUCCAGGCAAGGCUGGGAGUCUCC
Molecule: non-coding RNA, 83 nt
Organism: Podarcis lilfordi (Lilford's wall lizard)
Lineage: Eukaryota; Metazoa; Chordata; Lepidosauria; Squamata; Lacertidae
Source: the annotation of a GenBank genome assembly